UACCAGCUCUCCGAGUAGUGUGGAUGUUUAUUGGGCCUAAAGCAUCCGUAGCUUGCUAAGCAAGUCCCCUGUUAAAUCCACCGAUUCAAUCGGUGGAUUGCGGGGGAUACUGUUUGGCUAUGGGACGGGAGAGGCCGACGGUAUUUCCGGGGUAGGGGUGAAAUCCUAUAAUCCCGGGAAGACCACCAGUGGCGAAGGCUGUCGGCUAGAACGCGCCCGACGGUGAGGGAUGAAAGCUGGGGGAGCGAACCGGAUUAGAUACCCGGGUAGUCCCAGCUGUAAACGAUGCAGGCUAGGUGUUUGGGCGGCCACGAGCCGCUCUAGUGCCGCAGGGAAGCUGUUAAGCCUACCGCCUGGGGAGUACGGCCGCAAGGCUGAAACUUAAGGAAUUGGCGGGGGAGCACCACAAGGGGUGAAGCUUGCGGUUU
RNAcentral lists this ribosomal RNA (428 nucleotides) under uncultured archaeon. RNAcentral's name for it is "bacterial SSU rRNA". It matches the Rfam family "Archaeal small subunit ribosomal RNA", at positions 474 to 903 of the family's 1478-position model. The record is from RNAcentral.